This is a long non-coding RNA of Oreochromis aureus, 504 nucleotides long. NCBI's taxonomy places the organism in Eukaryota, Metazoa, Chordata, Actinopteri, Cichliformes, Cichlidae. The record is from Ensembl.
GAGAAAACUAGGCAACAAAAAAUCCCACUUGUUUUCUGUGAACGAUUUCGUCUGAUAACAAACAUGGAACGACGUAUCACUGCUUCACAGCCAACUAGAUGAAUAGGAUGGAAUCCCUUACACGAACUGUUUAAGCAACAUGAGGCAGCUCGUGUAUCGGAUGUUACCAAACGAAGGCGUCUAGCCUGGAUAGCAGCUGUGAGACGAGCUGAUAUCUCCAUCUCCAAAUAUCUGUUGGUGCUCCAGACGGUUUCAUUCCACAAACCAGCCUAUGAAAUGGAUGAAACACAUCGUGACUGGGUUCCAGCGCUACACAAGGGACCUGCUUCAAACAUACCACCAUGCCAACCAGAUUACUUCUUCCAUGUGAGGGUGAAGAGGUGACCCUUCAGGAUAAGAUGGUGAAGGUUCGCUGCGUUUGGUGAACAGUGUGGUAGUAAAACCAGGGAAAAAUGAAUCUUGCUCCUGUUAAAUAUUCUUAAGUCUUGUACUGUAUAAAUAGCG